Molecule: RNA transcript, 5693 nt
Organism: Haliotis rubra (blacklip abalone)
Lineage: Eukaryota; Metazoa; Mollusca; Gastropoda; Lepetellida; Haliotidae
Gene name: metastasis-associated protein MTA3-like
Exons: 17
Source: RefSeq, a predicted model, not a curated record
CACGUGUGAAAAGAGGAGGAAGACAGUAGGCAGUCCGAGAAAUGGCGACUCCAUGAUCUGUCGCUUCAGGGGGGUAAUGAAGUGGACCUUCGUGAUAUUAUACCCCAUGUAUUCGCAUGAUUGUGCUUUAUAGGACGAAAAAGGAUACUAUCUUUAAAUUACCACCAUACACAUGAAAAAUGGCGGCAAAUAUGUACAGAGUUGGAGAUUAUGUAUAUUUUGAAACAUCGUCCACAUCCCCGUUCCAAAUAAGACGAAUCGAGGAACUCAACAAGACUCCAAAUGGAAAUGUGGAAGCCAAAGUUAUGUGUUUUUAUCGAAGGAGGGAUAUAUCCAGUUCACUCAUCGUGUUGGCGGACAAGCAUCAAACUGAUGCCCUUGAUUCGAAAAAGGUGUACAACCAAGACAGAGAUGAAGUUGAUAUGGAUGUGGGAGAUGAAGAGGAGGAUGAGUCAUCGCCACCCCCACUACUACAACAGCAGUCACCACAGCCAAAUGAGGAACAGCAGCAGGACAAACAGUCAGAGAAACAGUCUGACAAACAGUCGGACAAAGAGUCUGACAAACAGCCCGAUAAAGAGUCUGACAAACAGCCCGAUAAAGAGUCUGACAAACAUCCCGAUAAACAGUCGGACAAACAGCCCGAUAAACAGACAGACAAACAGUCCGAAAAACAGCCUGACAAACAGUCCGAAAAACAGCCUGACAAACAGUCCGAAAAACAGCCUGACAAGGAGUCUGACAAACAGACAGAGAAACAGACAGGGUCAGAGCAGCAGCUAUCAACAUCUACAACAGAAACAUCAAUGGAGACAUCUUCUGAUAAGGCCGACAAUAAGUCUGAGAAUUCAGAAAAAUCGGAGAAGAAUGACAAAUCCCAGGUGACCGAGAAGCAGAGGCAUCAGCUGAAGCAUCGAGAAUUGUUCCUAUCGCGGCAGGUGGAGACUCUGCCAGCCACACACAUACGAGGGAAGUGUGUUGUGACACUACUCAAUGAGACAGAGUCCCUGCUUUCAUACUUGAAUAAAGAAGAUACCUUUUUCUACUCACUAGUCUAUGACCCACAGCAGAAAACCCUCUUAGCAGACAAGGGGGAAAUCCGAGUGGGCUCCAAGUUUCAGGCAGAAAUCACACCAUUAUUAAAAGAGGGUGAAAAAGAUGGUCGUGUCAUAGCUGAUCUUGAAGAUUUAAUAUGGCAGCCUGAUAAUGGAUUAGCAGAAAAAGAAGUAGAUCAGUUUAACAUUAUUUCCAGGUCAGUGGGUACAUUUGCAAGAGCUCUGGACUGCACAAGCACAGUUCGCCAACCUAGUCUACACAUGAGUGCAGCUGCUGCUUCCAGGGACAUUACACUCUUUCAUGCAAUGUGCACGUUACACAAACACAAUUACGACUUGGCAAAAGCAGUUGCCAGCCUUGUGCCAGAAGGAGGCCCAGUUCUAUGCCGCGAUGAGAUGGAAGAGUGGUCCGCAUCGGAGGCAAAUCUCUUCGAGGAGGCGUUAGACAAAUAUGGCAAAGACUUCAAUGAUAUUCGACAAGAUUUUCUACCCUGGAAGUCACUGAAAAGUAUUAUAGAGUACUAUUAUAUGUGGAAAACAACAGAUAGAUAUGUGCAACAGAAAAGAAUAAAAGCUGCUGAAGCCGAGAGUAAACUAAAGCAGGUUUACAUUCCCAACUACAAUAAACCCAACCCAGCAGCACUAUCCAACAAGAUGAAUGGCGCUGAUGGUCAAGUGUCCGGAAGAGCCUGCGAGAGCUGUUACACUGCCCACUCUAGCCAGUGGUAUUCGUGGGGCCCCUCCCACCUUCAGUGUCGCCUCUGUUCAUGCUGCUGGUCCUACUGGAAGAAGUAUGGUGGCCUAAAGAUGCCUACGCGGCUAGGUACUAACAACUAUGGAGAUAGUUUACCAACUGAUGGUGAGAGACCUGCACCCAAUCAAAGACAAGAGAGGGUUGCACAGAUGAAUGCCAUUCGAAGCCACCGAUGUACUAUUUCUGGUUGCGGCAAGGACUUCAAAUUGAAGGCACACUUGGCACGACACCUGGCAACAGCUCAUGGAUUGGCUAUCAGGUCAGGUAGCCCCCGACCUGUCAUGAAGACCCGAGCAGCUUUCUGUCUUGUCACCACACCGCUAACCAGAAUCUCUCGCCGACUCUGCAAGGAUAUCCUGCGCCCAAGACAUGCGGCCCGAUGUCCAUUCAUACCCAUAAACAUUGCUGCUAUCAAGCAAGAAUGUAAGUUGAAUGGGCUUGUCGCCAACUAUUCAGAUAAGAAUGAUUACAGUGACUAUGAUAGGUCUGAUGUAGAGAUGAUUGCUUCCAAACCUAUAUUUGAGAGAGCAAGCAACAACAUGUCCCCCAAUAAUGUUUCCCGUAACAAUGUGUCCCCUAACAACCUGUCAUCGGGCACUCCCAACAAUGUCCGCUUGAACCCAAUCAACGCUGUGCCAGCACACAACCGAUGAGGACGGAGCCCAUGAUUGCAUGGCUGGGAAUUCAAGAGGACAAUAUGGUUCAUCAUGACGACCACAUGUUCGAGAAACAAUUCUUUUUGACGGCAGCAGAUGACACACCAACAGACUGUUACAGAUUAAUGGUGAUUUGUUUGCUGUGAAGUUUGAGACAAAUCCUGUGUUGGCAGAUACACCUGCCUCCAUUAUGUGACUUAACAAGCUCCAGUAUGGUGGGCAGAGCCUGGCAAUUGUCAUCCGACUUUUGAAAACUUUUAGCGAACAAACUCAAGGACAUUUUGUGCCAUCUGGAACUAGGAACAUGCUCAUCGUCAGACGUGUUAAUCUUUCUCAUCACCAUUGUUUCCGAAGAUUAAAAAUGCAUAGUUCAACAUCAUUUCGUUUCAUCCAGAACAAUUGAUAAUUGUACAUGAAGAGUAGAAUUAGAUUUGUUACGAAAACACAAUUAUAGAUGAAUUUUGUAGUGUUUCGUCUACUCAUGUUCCUAGUUCUGCCAGGUGCCCUAGUGCAGAGACCGGAGCUUGUGAUGGUAAUCUAGCAAUACGUCACACGUCAACAUUUCAUACUUUUUUUUCGAGGACAUAAAAAUAAAUUGAAUUUACAUAUUAAAAUGAUAUUCAUUUGAAGAUGUAAUUGCAUAUUUGACAAUGUUUGAACCCACUGUUUGUAUAUCUUUGUAAACAACUGAAAGGUUUUGUUAAAGACUUUGUUAGUUUCAUAAAGGGUGUCUGGUAUUUCAAAAUAAUUGUUCUUUUACCAAUAACGUCAAGGUUUCCUCCAUUCCUCAACAUCAUAUCCCUCACAGUACUGUUCAGUUGCAUGGAGCAGUUGCAUGACAAUGAUAUCUGUACCUUUAUAACUUAUUCUGACGCUAACAGAUACCAAUGGUGUGGAAACCGUGCAGACCCUCUCUCUCGGGGCUUCUGGUACUAGGGCAUUGUGUGUUAUUUUCUUUGCUAACUUUGUAUUCUUGUCCUUCAGGGAAGGCUUGUUUUCCUAUCAGCUUCUAGCCUUAGUGUGUUAUCUAUUUAUACAAUGUAUUGAGUAUUAAUUCAAACUAUUUUUAAGUUUUUCUAAGACAGUGAGUUUGAAUUUCUUCAUAAAAUUCAGUUUUAUUCAACAUCUUGCCAGUACAACUGUACUUAUUUUGGGAAGAGUCCAGUAAUGAGUCAUCUGAAAUAAUCUAUUUUGCUCAAAUUGAGAAUUGUUACCAAUUCUGACUGAAAUAUAAAAAACAACUGGGCAGCAAGGUAUUUACUCUGUGAAUAACAUGGAAACAUGCAGCAUUCAAACCACCAAACUGCUGUCCAGUUUUCAGACAGAUGUAAGCUGCACAUAUACAAACUGCUGUCCAGUUUUCAGACCGAUGUAAGCUGCACGUAUACAAACUGCUGCAACUAAUACAGCCAGGCAAUCACAAAGAAAGCCUGCUCUCACAAAUACAGUCAAACGUUCCGGAUGAUCCAACAUGCCCUCAUUCACUUGCACACCAUCAUCUUACAGUAGAGGUGUAAACUCAUUUUGUUCUGAAAAUUCUUUCCAUGUGGGGAGAAAUGAAAGUUCUAGUACCUAAUGUCAACACGGACACUUGCAGUUUGUUAUAACAUUUGUUAACCAGAAAUAUUUGGUGAGGAGGAGCCAAAUAAAAUUAGCUUGGUCAACAUGAGAUGGCAUUUGGCGUUAUGGUGUACACAGAAAGUUUGUGAAAACUUGUUUAUCAUACUGUUUGUACAAGUUCUUGUAUUUCCCAAGCAUGAAAUAGGGCAAUACAUAAGUUCUUACAUGAGUUAAAAUCAGUUUUUACAUACAUGCAAGUGUAAAAUGUAAUGUAAUUCCAUCAUUUCUUGCCCUUUUGAGCUCUCUUUUGAAAAAGUCAUGAUCAUAGUCUUCAAAACCACAAUUUCUGAAUAAUGUCAACACUUUUCAGCUGUGACAUUACAACCUUACGCCACAAUAAGAUUUGAAUGAUGUCAGUGCCAUACGGAUGGUGGUGGUGUGUGUCUGUGAAGUGAUAUUUCCACUAGUGCACUUUCGAUUGUUCUAACCCUUUGGGUAAUACAAAUAUAUACAGCUGUAUCUUAUUUGAGAGUUUUUUGGUCUUCAGUCAAAUAUGUAACACUGUUGAUUUAUCAGCAAUAGUUGUAUAGCAGUUGCAUGUAUGGAUUUCCUCCUGAAGAAUGCUGUUGUGCCUUCCCCAACAGGUGGUAGACCGGGUAUAUUUCCAUAGGAUAAUUGAUUCGGAAACAUGGCAGUUUUUGAUAUUUUCAUUUCAUUUUGGAGUCAUGACUACCUUUUGUUGUUUCCUGCAAAAUGUGGCCAAUAGUUUUGACGUUUGGAAGGAACCCAUAUUCAGGAAAUAAAAUUCAAAGUUCAUGAUCUAAUUUCUUGAUUUGGACAACUAUUUUAUGAUGAGAUUUGCAAUAAAAGUUAAUGAGGAUGUUUGAGGUAGCUGAAUGGGUGAAGUGUUGGUUUGUGACAGUCUUGACUGGGUUUGAAUUCCUCAUUAACACAGUUUAUGAAUGCAAUUAAAGAGACCCAUCGUCUUGUCAAAUAGUUGAAUCAAAAUAUCCUAAAAUCUGAUACACAACAUUGCCUUGUUCAGAAGCUAUAAAAAGGCUCUUUACUUGUCAGUAUUUUGUGGUUGGAGUUCCGAUUAAUGUUUGGUUCAGAUAAUUAUAGUUUGUUGUCAAUCUGUAGUUAAAGAAAGCAAUAAUAUAGUCACGAGAAAAAGCUUGGAUUUUAUUAAUCAAAACCAAUAUGUUGGUACGAAUUAAGUUUCAUACUGACACAGGAAGCUGGCUGGGCAUUGUGGGUUGUGAAGAACAAAGUCGAACCACUAUCCAUUCACUGUAGAAUUUCAUUGUAGUCUAUCAUGUGUAGGGUAUGGAUUUUUGUGCUAUUCAAUAUUUAAGAAUUAUUUGUCCUGAAACCAUACUUUGACUAUUUUGCCAAUGUUUGUGUAUCUAGAUGUAGUAACAUAGCUUGAUGUUGAGUUCCUCCUUAAACAUUGUAUGUACCAAGUUGGACAUUUUUCUAUAACAUUUGUACAGGUUUUCUUAUCUUGGUCCUAGUAUCAUCACUCAUGUUGUCUUCCAUCAGUGAUAUUACGUAGUGUCAUCAUCAUCCUCAUCUAGUUAGAUCACUUGCAUGUGUGUAUAGACAACCGACAGCCAUGUAACAUAGCCUUGUAACACUUGUCAGCAAUAAAAUUCAACAAAAACAUCA